AGUGGAUGGGGAGCAACCUAGUUGUGAGUGCGGAAAGGUAGUGCCAAGAAAAGCUGUCAGAAUGAUGAGAAUUGAGUCCCGGUACCCGAAACCGACACAGGUAGGCAAGUAGAGAAUACUAAGGGGCGCGAGGUAACUCUCUCCAAGGAACUCGGCAAAAUGACCCCGUAACUUAGGGAGAAGGGGUGCCACCGAGAGGUGGUCGCAGUGAAGAGGCCCAGGCGACUGUUUAGCAAAAACAUAGGUCUCUGCAAACUCGAAAGAGGAAGUAUAGGGGCUGACGCCUGCCCAGUGCCGGAAGGUUAAAGAAGUUGGUCAGGAGAAAUCUGAAGCUGGCGACUGAAGCCCCGGUGAACGGCGGCCGUAACUAUAACGGUCCUAAGGUAGCGAAAUUCCUUGUCGGGUAAGUUCCGACCCGCACGAAAGGCGUAACGAUCUGGGCGCUGUCUCGGAGAGAGGCUCGGCGAAAUAGGAUUGUCUGUGAAGAUACGGACUACCUGCAUUUGGACAGAAAGACCCUAUGAAGCUUUACUGUAGCUUGAAAUUGUGUUCGGGCUUCCUGUGCGCAGGAUAGGUGGGAGGCUAGGAAGGUCUGCUUGUGGGCAGAUUGGAGCCAACCGUGAGAUACCACUCUCAGGAGGCUAGAAUUCUAACUUAAUUAAGGACAGUUUCAGGUGGGCAGUUUGACUGGGGCGGUCGCCUCCAAAAAGGUAACGGAGGCGUACAAAGGUUCCCUCACACUGGUUGGAAAUCAGUGGCAGAGUGCAAAGGCAGAAGGGAGCUUGACUGCGAGACGGACAAGUCGAGCAGGGUGGAAACACGGUCUUAGUGAUCCGACGGUGCUGUGUGGAAGGGCCGUCGCUCAACGGAUAAAAGUUACUCUAGGGAUAACAGGCUGAUCUCCCCCAAGAGUUCACAUCGACGGGGAGGUUUGGCACCUCGAUGUCGGCUCAUCGCAACCUGGGGCGGAAGUACGUCCCAAGGGUUGGGCUGUUCGCCCAUUAAAGCGGUACGUGAGCUGGUUCAGAACGUCGUGAGACAGUUCGGUCCAUAUCCGAUGUAGGCGUGAGAAUAUUGAGAGGAGCCUUCCUUAGUACGAGAGGACCGGGAAGGACGCACCGCUGGUGUACCUGUUAUGAUGCCAAUCGUAAACGCAGGGUAGCCAAGUGCGGAGAGGAUAACCGCUGGAAGCAUCUAAGUGGGAAGCCCACCUCAAGAUGAGUAUUCUGGUGUAAGGUCACGGGGAGACGACCCGUAGAUAGGCACGAGGUGGAAGUGCAGAGAUGUAUGAAGCCGAAGUGUACUAAUAGACCGUCGGCUUGACC
Molecule: ribosomal RNA, 1325 nt
Filed under: metagenome
Description: bacterial LSU rRNA
Rfam family: Bacterial large subunit ribosomal RNA
Source: RNAcentral